Molecule: ribosomal RNA, 319 nt
Filed under: uncultured eukaryote
Lineage: Eukaryota
Description: partial 18S ribosomal RNA
Rfam family: Eukaryotic small subunit ribosomal RNA
Source: RNAcentral
CCCUUAGAUGUUCUGGGCAGCACGCGCGCUACAAUGGUCUUCGCAAACGGAUGCAUACUCGAAGGAGAAUGCCAAUCUUGGAAUCUAUGCCUUGGUCGGGACAGUUGCUUGCAAUUUUUCGACUCGAACCAGGAAUUCCUUGUAAUCGUGAUUCAUCACAUCACGAUGAAUACGUCCCUGCCCUUUGUACACACCGCCCGUCGCUCCUACCGAUCGAAGAGUUAGGUGAAUUGUUUUGAUCGAUAAGAUUUGACUAUGGUCAACUCUCGUUGUGAAAUUCUGUGAAUCUGACUGUUUAGAGGAAGGAAAAGUCGUAACA